This 440-nucleotide ribosomal RNA is filed under the name uncultured bacterium. RNAcentral describes it as "partial 16S ribosomal RNA". It matches the Rfam family "Bacterial small subunit ribosomal RNA", at positions 338 to 795 of the family's 1533-position model. The record is from RNAcentral.
CCUACGGGAGGCAGCAGUGGGGGAUAUUGCACAAUGGGGGAAACCCUGAUGCAGCAACGCCGCGUGAGUGAAGAAGUAGUUCGGUAUGUAAAGCUCUAUCAGCAGGGAAGAGAAUGACGGUACCUGACGAAGAAGCCCCGGCGAACUACGUGCCAGCAGCCGCGGUAAUACGUAGGGGGCGAGCGUUAUCCGGAUUUACUGGGUGUCAAGGGAGCGUAGACGGCGGGGCAAGUCGGAAGUGAAAGCCCGGGGCUGAACCCCGGAACGGCUUUUGAAACUGAGCAGCUAGAGUGCUGGAGAGGUACGCCGAAUUCCUCUUGUAGCGGUGACCUGCGUAGAUAUUAGGAGGAACACCAGUGGCGCAGGCGGCUUACUGGACCGUAACUGACGUUGAGGCUCGAAAGCGUGGGGAGCAAACAGGAUUAGAUACCCCUGUAGUC